This 1321-nucleotide ribosomal RNA is filed under the name Staphylococcus aureus. RNAcentral describes it as "partial 23S ribosomal RNA". It matches the Rfam family "Bacterial large subunit ribosomal RNA", at positions 260 to 1581 of the family's 2925-position model. The record is from RNAcentral. Lineage: Bacteria; Bacillati; Bacillota; Bacilli; Caryophanales; Staphylococcaceae.
GGGAAGAGCCCAAACCAACAAGCUUGCUUGUUGGGGUUGUAGGACACUCUAUACGGAGUUACAAAGGACGACAUUAGACGAAUCAUCUGGAAAGAUGAAUCAAAGAAGGUAAUAAUCCUGUAGUCGAAAAUGUUGUCUCUCUUGAGUGGAUCCUGAGUACGACGGAGCACGUGAAAUUCCGUCGGAAUCUGGGAGGACCAUCUCCUAAGGCUAAAUACUCUCUAGUGACCGAUAGUGAACCAGUACCGUGAGGGAAAGGUGAAAAGCACCCCGGAAGGGGAGUGAAAUAGAACCUGAAACCGUGUGCUUACAAGUAGUCAGAGCCCGUUAAUGGGUGAUGGCGUGCCUUUUGUAGAAUGAACCGGCGAGUUACGAUUUGAUGCAAGGUUAAGCAGUAAAUGUGGAGCCGUAGCGAAAGCGAGUCUGAAUAGGGCGUUUAGUAUUUGGUCGUAGACCCGAAACCAGGUGAUCUACCCUUGGUCAGGUUGAAGUUCAGGUAACACUGAAUGGAGGACCGAACCGACUUACGUUGAAAAGUGAGCGGAUGAACUGAGGGUAGCGGAGAAAUUCCAAUCGAACCUGGAGAUAGCUGGUUCUCUCCGAAAUAGCUUUAGGGCUAGCCUCAAGUGAUGAUUAUUGGAGGUAGAGCACUGUUUGGACGAGGGGCCCCUCUCGGGUUACCGAAUUCAGACAAACUCCGAAUGCCAAUUAAUUUAACUUGGGAGUCAGAACAUGGGUGAUAAGGUCCGUGUUCGAAAGGGAAACAGCCCAGACCACCAGCUAAGGUCCCAAAAUAUAUGUUAAGUGGAAAAGGAUGUGGCGUUGCCCAGACAACUAGGAUGUUGGCUUAGAAGCAGCCAUCAUUUAAAGAGUGCGUAAUAGCUCACUAGUCGAGUGACACUGCGCCGAAAAUGUACCGGGGCUAAACAUAUUACCGAAGCUGUGGAUUGUCCUUUGGACAAUGGUAGGAGAGCGUUCUAAGGGCGUUGAAGCAUGAUCGUAAGGACAUGUGGAGCGCUUAGAAGUGAGAAUGCCGGUGUGAGUCGCGAAAGACGGGUGAGAAUCCCGUCCACCGAUUGACUAAGGUUUCCAGAGGAAGGCUCGUCCGCUCUGGGUUAGUCGGGUCCUAAGCUGAGGCCGACAGGCGUAGGCGAUGGAUAACAGGUUGAUAUUCCUGUACCACCUAUAAUCGUUUUAAUCGAUGGGGGGACGCAGUAGGAUAGGCGAAGCGUGCGAUUGGAUUGCACGUCUAAGCAGUAAGGCUGAGUAUUAGGCAAAUCCGGUACUCGUUAAGGCUGAGCUGUGAUGGGGAGAAGACAUU